Molecule: unclassified non-coding RNA, 391 nt
Filed under: Hevea brasiliensis (rubber tree)
Lineage: Eukaryota; Viridiplantae; Streptophyta; Magnoliopsida; Malpighiales; Euphorbiaceae
Source: RNAcentral
GCAUAUCCCAAAAGAUGUCCAAUACCUGCACUUUGAACGCUGCGACUUCCAGAGAAGCAUCUUAUGCUUGAAGAAUGUAACUGAGCUCAAGUGCUUAGUAAUUUCUUAUAGUUACGGGAUAGAAUGUUUGCUUUCGUUGUCCUCCUGCUCCACACCGUUGUCACCAUCUCAAUAUACCUUUUCCCUCCUUAAAACAUUUGCAAUACAUUUUUGCACCGGUAUAAAGAAGCUGUUCCCCCCUGGAGUGCUGGCAAACUUUCAAAACCUAGAAGUUAUUUCUGUUGAACAUUGUGUAAAUGUGGAGGUUUUGAUAGCUACGGAUGAAGAACAAGAAACCCAUAAUAGCAGUGGCGGCAAUGCUCUAUUCAUUCUCCCAAAAUUACAGCAUUUU